AACUUAUCCAGAGAGAAGGAGGGAACUGGCCCUGAGAAUUCUCAGCAACAGGCGAAAGCACUGUGCUACAUCCAGCAAGAAAUUCUUGGCAGAUAAGAG
Gracilibacillus kekensis is the source of this 99-nucleotide regulatory RNA element. It matches the Rfam family "SAM riboswitch aptamer (S box leader)". From Rfam's summary of the family: The SAM riboswitch is found upstream of a number of genes which code for proteins involved in methionine or cysteine biosynthesis in Gram-positive bacteria. The SAM riboswitch acts at the level of transcription termination control. The record is from Rfam. NCBI's taxonomy places the organism in Bacteria, Bacillati, Bacillota, Bacilli, Caryophanales, Bacillaceae.